Molecule: ribosomal RNA, 253 nt
Filed under: uncultured bacterium
Lineage: Bacteria
Description: partial 16S ribosomal RNA
Rfam family: Bacterial small subunit ribosomal RNA
Source: RNAcentral
UACGUAGGGUGCGAGCGUUAAUCGGAAUUACUGGGCGUAAAGCGUGCGUAGGCGGUUAUGUAAGUCAGAUGUGAAAGCCCCGGGCUCAACCUGGGAAUUGCAUUUGAGACUGCAUAGCUAGGAUGCGGAAGAGGGAAGUGGAAUUUCCGGUGUAGCGGUGAAAUGCGUAGAUAUCGGAAGGAACAUCAGUGGCGAAAGCGACUUCCUGGUCCAGCAUCGACGUUCAGGCACGAAAGCGUGGGGAGCAAACAGG